This 433-nucleotide ribosomal RNA is filed under the name uncultured bacterium. RNAcentral describes it as "bacterial SSU rRNA". It matches the Rfam family "Bacterial small subunit ribosomal RNA", at positions 355 to 796 of the family's 1533-position model. The record is from RNAcentral.
UCGAGGAUCUUCGGCAAUGGGCGCAAGCCUGACCGAGCGACGCCGCGUGCGCGAUGAAGGCCUUCGGGUUGUAAAGCGCUGUCGAGGGGAAGAAAAGCCGUAAGGUGUGAUCGACCCCUGGAGGAAGCACGGGCUAAGUUCGUGCCAGCAGCCGCGGUAAGACGAACCGUGCGAACGUUGUUCGGAAUCACUGGGCUUAAAGGGCGCGUAGGCGGGCACGCAAGUCAGGGGUGAAAUACUUCAGCUUAACUGGAGAACAGCUUUUGAUACUGCGUGUCUGGAGGGGGGUAGGGGCAUGUGGAACUUCCGGUGGAGCGGUGAAAUGCGUAGAUAUCGGAAGGAACGCCGGUGGCGAAAGCGACGUGCUGGACCCUUUCUGACGCUGAGGCGCGAAAGCCAGGGGAGCAAACGGGAUUAGAUACCCCCGUAGUCC